UUGGUAAAAUGAAUUAUUACCAUUUCUAUUCUAUAUAAACCCUACAACUUCUAGCAUUCGGUGGGUUCACUGAAUUCAUUUGUGCUUAGAUUCGGAAUUGGAAGAUAAGGGCCAGAAGUUUAUGCGAAGUUAUCUGAAAUCGGCAGCUUUAUUUCAAGUGUUCAAAAGAUCAAGAAAUUGCAACCUGGAUGGGAGAUUAAUGAACUAAGAAAAAAUGUACAAGAAUAGAACACAUCUAAGGCUACUAAAAGAAUAUCAACCAGCCAACGUUGUCAUCCAGAGAUUGGGAGGCACGAGUUUCGAUCUCAUCCAUAGAAUUAAUAUGGACUGUAGGAUGACGUUUGAUUUUUUACUAGCAUUAGUAGAUCAUUAUUCUAUCGAGCUAUCGUAUUUUUUCAUUGGAGAAGAGAGGAUAAUUCCGACAUUGGAUGACGUGGCUAGAAUUACGGGGUUCUUCAUUGAUGGCAUGCCAGUAAUGGGGCAUGAUUGCACAGCAGAUAAAUACCCCAAUAUCUGCAACAAAUUAUUGUUAUCUCCGAGGCUUCUUCAUAAGAAGAACAGAUGUGAUAUAAUUCUUAAGAAAUUACUAUAUUUUAAGGACAUUCCCCUAGUUUUGUCGAGGAGGGACUUGACCUCUAUGUUAGGGCAUAUAUCAUUUAUGUUAUUGAAUGUUUUCUUGCUCCCCCAAGGGACCAUUCAUAGGUGCCCUACAUGUAUCUCUCUUUAUUGAGGGGUGUUGAUGCUAUUUGAAAUUAUGCAUGACGAGUUGCAUUAUUAUGUCAACUGCAUCACAGUUUGACAGAAUU
Long non-coding RNA from Olea europaea var. sylvestris, 806 nucleotides. RefSeq lists it as uncharacterized. The record is from RefSeq and is a predicted model, not a curated record. NCBI's taxonomy places the organism in Eukaryota, Viridiplantae, Streptophyta, Magnoliopsida, Lamiales, Oleaceae. The transcript is spliced from 3 exons.